Molecule: ribosomal RNA, 460 nt
Filed under: uncultured bacterium
Lineage: Bacteria
Description: partial 16S ribosomal RNA
Rfam family: Bacterial small subunit ribosomal RNA
Source: RNAcentral
CCUACGGGUGGCAGCAGUGAGGAAUAUUGGUCAAUGGACGAGAGUCUGAACCAGCCAAGUAGCGUGAAGGAUGACUGCCCUAUGGGUUGUAAACUUCUUUUAUAUGGGAAUAAAAUGUUCCACGUGUGGGAUUUUGUAUGUACCAUAUGAAUAAGGAUCGGCUAACUCCGUGCCAGCAGCCGCGGUAAUACGGAGGAUCCGAGCGUUAUCCGGAUUUAUUGGGUUUAAAGAGAGCGUAGGUGGAUUGUUAAGUCAGUUGUGAAAGUUUGCGGCUCAACCGUAAAAUUGCAGUUGAAACUGGCAGUCUUGAGUACAGUAGAGGUGGGCGGAAUUCGUGGUGUAGCGGUGAAAUGCUUAGAUAUCACGAAGAACUCCGAUUGCGAAGGCAGUUCACUGGACUGCAACUGACACUGAGGCUCGAAAGUGUGGGUAUCAAACAGGAUUAGAUACCCGAGUAGUC